CGCCACUGUGGUGGAUUUGGUGCCAGCAGCCGCGGUAAUUCCAGCUCCAAUAGCGUAUAUUAAAGUUGUUGCGGUUAAAACGUUCGUAGUUGAACUUGUGCUUCAUACGGGUAGUACAACUUACAAUUGUGGUUAGUACUAUACCUUUAUGUAUGUAAGCGUAUUACCGGUGGAGUUCUUAUAUGUGAUUAAAUACUUGUAUUUUUUCAUAUGUUCCUCCUAUUUAAAAACCUGCACUAGUGCUCUUAAACGAGUGUUAUUGUGGGCCGGUACUAUUACUUUGAACAAAUUAGAGUGCUUAAAGCAGGCUUCAAAUGCCUGAAUAUUCUGUGCAUGGGAUAAUGAAAUAAGACCUCUGUUCUGCUUUCAUUGGUUUUCAGAUCAAGAGGUAAUGAUUAAUAGAAGCAGUUUGGGGGCAUUAGUAUUACGACGCGAGAGGUGAAAUUCUUGGACCGUCGUAAGACUAACUUAAGCGAAAGCAUUUGCCAAAGAUGUUUUCAUUAAUCAAGAACGAAAGUUAGAGGUUCGAAGGCGAUCAGAUACCGCCCUAGUUCUAACCAUAAACGAUGCCAGCUAGCAAUUGGGUGUAGCUACUUUUAUGGCUCUCUCAGUCGCUUCCCGGGAAACCAAAGCUUUUGGGCUCCGGGGGAAGUAUGGUUGCAAAGCUGAAACUUAAAGGAAUUGACGGAAGGGCACCACCAGGAGUGGAGCCUGCGGCUUAAUUUGACUCAACACGGGAAAACUUACCAGGUCCGAACAUAAGUGUGUAAGACAGAUUGAUAGCUCUUUCUCGAAUCUAUGGGUGGUGGUGCAUGGCCGUUCUUAUUUCGUGGAGUGAUUUGUCUGGUUAAUUCCGAUAACGAACGAGACUCAAAUAUAUUAAAUAGAUAUCUUCAGGAUUAUGGUGCUGAAGCUUAUGUAGCCUUCAUUCAUGGUGGCAGUAAAAUGUUUAUUGUGUUUGAAUGUGUUUAUGUAAGUGGAGCCGUACCUGUUGGUUGUCCCAUUAUAAGGACACUAGCU
Molecule: non-coding RNA, 1020 nt
Filed under: Drosophila simulans
Lineage: Eukaryota; Metazoa; Arthropoda; Insecta; Diptera; Drosophilidae
Description: Eukaryotic small subunit ribosomal RNA
Rfam family: Eukaryotic small subunit ribosomal RNA
Source: Rfam by way of RNAcentral